UGGCCCAUAAUUCCCUCAUUUGUUUUAGGCAUGUGACAUUUAAGGAAUUGGUGGAAAUUUAAGAAGUUGUUAAGAGUCUAAAAGAAGAAAGACUCUUCCUCUUCUUAAUGCUAAAAAGAGGGUGGUGGUAAUUAAUUUAUAGUGUGAAAUCAGGGUGGCAUGGAGGUCACCUUCUACACUUAAAACUCUUCCAAGUUGGGUAGGAGUCUAAUUAAAAUAGACCUAAUCUAAUCAGAUCAAAAGCAACAGGUUCGGUUUAGCUCAAACAUUUUGAACUUAACCUAAUUAGAAACUUGGGUUAACACAAUAUGCUAGCAAACCAAAUUAAUCUCUAGAAUUUACAUU
This 345-nucleotide long non-coding RNA is filed under the name Elaeis guineensis (African oil palm). RNAcentral's name for it is "long non-coding RNA (EGUI_LNC065561)". The record is from RNAcentral. Lineage: Eukaryota; Viridiplantae; Streptophyta; Magnoliopsida; Arecales; Arecaceae.